UACGUAGGGGGCAAGCGUUAUCCGGAAUUACUGGGUGUAAAGGGUGCGUAGGCGGAAGUUCAAGUCAGCGGUAAAAUCGAGGGGCUCAACCCCGUCUCGCCGUUGAAACUGUCUUUCUAGAGUGAGCGAGAAGUAUGCGGAAUGCGUGGUGUAGCGGUGAAAUGCAUAGAUAUCACGCAGAACUCCGAUUGCGAAGGCAGCAUACCGGCGCUCAACUGACGCUGAGGCACGAAAGCGUGGGGAUCGAACAGG
Molecule: ribosomal RNA, 252 nt
Filed under: uncultured bacterium
Lineage: Bacteria
Description: partial 16S ribosomal RNA
Rfam family: Bacterial small subunit ribosomal RNA
Source: RNAcentral